GUGCCAGCCGCCGCGGUAAUACCGGCAGCCCGAGUGAUGGCCGAUCUUAUUGGGCCUAAAGCGUCCGUAGCUGGCUGCGCAAGUCCGUCGGGAAAUCCACUCGCCCAACGAGUGGGCGUCCGACGGAAACUGCACAGCUUGGGACCGGAAGGCCCGAAGGGUACGUUCGGGGUAGGAGUGAAAUCCCGUAAUCCUGGACGGACCACCGGUGGCGAAAGCGCCUCGAGAGGACGGACCCGACAGGGAGGGACGAAAGCCAGGGACUCGAACCGGAUUAGAUACCUAGUAGUCC
This 292-nucleotide ribosomal RNA is filed under the name uncultured bacterium. RNAcentral describes it as "partial 16S ribosomal RNA". It matches the Rfam family "Archaeal small subunit ribosomal RNA", at positions 455 to 747 of the family's 1478-position model. The record is from RNAcentral.